Halichondria panicea is the source of this 541-nucleotide long non-coding RNA. RefSeq lists it as uncharacterized. Lineage: Eukaryota; Metazoa; Porifera; Demospongiae; Suberitida; Halichondriidae. The transcript has 5 exons. The record is from RefSeq and is a predicted model, not a curated record.
GUCAGUAAUGAACCCGUACACUCGGACGCCUUCAAGAUUUAGAGAGUUCUUGCGAGUAUCAACAUUGGACCCCCCGGACAGAAGGCUGGGUAUCGACAAGUACUCUGACGUGACCAAGCCAAUCAUCCAUACAUCGGCGUUCAUGGAGAUAUGCUCCACCCACUCUGAGCGUAGCAAGCAACUUUAAAGUGGUCAGGCCAACUUACAAUUAAAGGUUCAGGUUCGGAAAUAUUGUGUUUGAGAUCACAUCAGGCAGAUAGAGAAGGUCCUCCAGGACCUCCUUCAGCUGCAAUACGAGGGCCUGGCAAUCAUGAAGAUGUUUGAAAGGGCCAAAGUGAACGUUAAUCUGCUCAUCUUCCUCAUGAACAAAAAUCGACAGAGCGUUAAAUUGGAUUUCCACUACAUUCAUUGACAGUUUUAUACGUACAGUGCAUGUGCUCUCUGUGACACUGUAGGGAGCAUUGAAUUUAAACCAUCAUUAUUACUGUGCUAUAUUGACCAAUUCCAACUGAUUUGUUUUUAGGUAAUUGUUAUGUAAUGU